UACAGAGGAGCCAAGCGUUGUCCGGAUUGACUGGGCGUAAAGCGCACGCAGGCGGUUGCGCGCGUGGGGUGUGAAAUCUGGCCGCUUAACGGCCAGGCGCCAUCCCAUACGGCGCGACUGGAGUGAUGCAGAGGUCGAUGGAAUUGCCGGUGUAGUGGUGAAAUGCGCAGAUAUCAGGAGGAACACCGAUGGCGAAGGCAGGUCUCUGGGCAUUAACUGACGCUGAGGAGCGAAAGCAUGGGGAGCGAACAGG
Molecule: ribosomal RNA, 253 nt
Filed under: uncultured bacterium
Lineage: Bacteria
Description: partial 16S ribosomal RNA
Rfam family: Bacterial small subunit ribosomal RNA
Source: RNAcentral